UUUUAAUAGCCUCUCUUUCUGAAAUCCAACAUGAAUUUUAUAACUUUUCCAUUUACCCACCUCAAAACAACUAUCAUGUCCCAUUAAUAACAUUACAAAAGUGAUAUUCAUGUAACUGUUUUUAGCAUUUAGAAAUAUAUGUAGCAUCUUCUCAUAGAAGCACUUUUUCUGUUUUUACUUGUGUUAGGAUUAAACCUACAGAUACUGCAUGGGAUUGGUUGUUUUGAAACCUCUGUAAUUAUUUUCUCCUUUACAUAUUUUCAGAACCAUGUGCAGAGGAGAAAAUUCCAUCCUUGGACAGUUAAAAGCAGAGCUUGGUAAUCAGUGGAUAAAUUACAUAUCAUUCUGUGGUCUUAGAACACAUGCAGAGCUUGAAGGAAACCUAGUCACUGAGCUUAUCUAUGUCCACAGCAAGUUGUUAAUUGCUGAUGAUAACACUGUUAUUAUUGGCUCUGCCAACAUAAAUGACCGCAGCAUGCUGGGAAAGCGUGACAGUGAAAUGGCUGUCAUCGUGCAAGAUACAGAGACUGUUCCUUCAGUAAUGGAUGGAGAAGAGUACCAAGCUGGCCGGUUUG
This 575-nucleotide small RNA is filed under the name Pongo abelii (Sumatran orangutan). RNAcentral's name for it is "retained intron". The record is from RNAcentral. Lineage: Eukaryota; Metazoa; Chordata; Mammalia; Primates; Hominidae.